AUUGCUUCUCGGCCUUUUGGCUAAGAUCAAGUGUACAUUCUCUCAGCAUAAGAAAAUUUGAGAAGCAUCUUAUCUCUAAAAGAAAAAUUUCCUGAUUUUUAAAGAUUUUAUCCUUUCAUCUUGAUCACAUAGGUAUAAUGGAAAAUAGUGUUCUUACAAGACAGGAUCCACUGAGGUUCCCCAAAGA
This is a small nuclear RNA of Heterocephalus glaber (naked mole-rat), 187 nucleotides long. Its record names the gene U2. It matches the Rfam family "U2 spliceosomal RNA". From Rfam's summary of the family: U2 is a small nuclear RNA (snRNA) component of the spliceosome (involved in pre-mRNA splicing). Lineage: Eukaryota; Metazoa; Chordata; Mammalia; Rodentia; Bathyergidae. The record is from Ensembl.